This 66-nucleotide transfer RNA is filed under the name Bactericera cockerelli (potato/tomato psyllid). Its description in RNAcentral is "tRNA-Glu". The record is from RNAcentral. Lineage: Eukaryota; Metazoa; Arthropoda; Insecta; Hemiptera; Triozidae.
UCUUCUGUAUUUUAUUUAAAAUAUCAUAUUUUCAUUAUGAAGAAGAUUUUGUUUUAUCCAGAAGCU